CACGAAUCUCCCUUCUCCUUCUUCCCCGCCCCGUUGCCCUAGCAACGUCCCCUCUUCCACCCCACCCUCACCACCUGUCCCCCCCUAUCUCUCCCAGGACAUCGAAUCCUCGAGUGGGACUUGUGGGAAGAUGAAGCCCCUGGCCUUUCAUUCACUAAGCUCUUGGCGCCCGCUCCUUACCAUCCUUCUUCAUCCCUUCAUAUUGAUAACUCCUCCUCCAGCCCUCUGAGCUCUCCAUAUCCACAGACUUCCGAGUUGGUUACUUAUUACCAAUGCUUACUUAUUACCAAAACCAGCCCAUUUUACUACUGAGGAAACAGAGCCUAGAGAGGCAUUCCAGAAGGGUGUCAAAAUGUCUCCUACAUUGUCAAAUGAUGGCAGGUGGUUUGAAGAUGGGAUUGACUUUUUUUUUGCCUACUUUUAAAUUUAAUCAACCAAAAGCUUAGACACCCCUAAUUAACAUUAAGUAGGGGAGGUUCACAAAGGACUUACUAAAGUGAAUAACACCUCCAGAAGCCACUGACUGUCCUCUGGGCUGUACUAAGCAAAUUUAAAGACUGGAAUUGGUCCCCAUAAAGUGGAGGAAGGGACAUGAAAUGACUUAAAAAAGGACUAUAAAAGAUGAUGAACUUCUUGUCCAAGAGGUCUUCAGCCUGAAUCUGGGGCAUGGAGGAGCUUGGACCUGGGACUCUAGCACUUGGAUUGCUUCUGAUAAGACUGCUCCUGGAUCCUCUCCUUUGGACCUUCGCCUGAGUGAGUUAAAAGCUGACCUUCCUUUCCUGGCUUCUGGAGAAUUAGUUCCAGAGAGGGCUCCCCUUCUUGGAGGAGGCUGCAUAGGUUGAACCCUUGCCCAAUUCAAUACCAAGUACUCCAGCUGAGGGGUUAACAAACCCUAAGUGGGUUGAGCCAGGGACCUGAGCAACAUUUAGGCUGAUAAGCUAGACUACUUGCUCUACCCUCUCUUUCAUUUCUCUACUUUCACUCUCACCACCUUUUUUGCAAAUAAAAGCUACUAAGCCAUUUUGACUUGAGCUUUA
This 1037-nucleotide long non-coding RNA is filed under the name Monodelphis domestica (gray short-tailed opossum). RNAcentral describes it as "lncRNA (ENSMODG00000049979.1)". Lineage: Eukaryota; Metazoa; Chordata; Mammalia; Didelphimorphia; Didelphidae. The record is from RNAcentral.